RNAcentral lists this ribosomal RNA (253 nucleotides) under uncultured bacterium. RNAcentral's name for it is "partial 16S ribosomal RNA". It matches the Rfam family "Bacterial small subunit ribosomal RNA", at positions 524 to 776 of the family's 1533-position model. The record is from RNAcentral.
UACAGAGGAUGCAAGCGUUAUCCGGAAUGAUUGGGCGUAAAGCGUCCGCAGGUGGCUGUGUAAGUCUGCUGUCAAAGAGCGAAGCUCAACUUCGUAAAGGCAGUGGAAACUACACGGCUAGAGUGCGUUCGGGGCAGAGGGAAUUCCUGGUGUAGCGGUGAAAUGCGUAGAGAUCAGGAAGAACACCGGUGGCGAAGGCGCUCUGCUAGGCCGCAACUGACACUGAGGGACGAAAGCUAGGGGAGCGAAUGGG